This 380-nucleotide ribosomal RNA is filed under the name Escherichia coli. RNAcentral describes it as "bacterial SSU rRNA". It matches the Rfam family "Bacterial small subunit ribosomal RNA", at positions 1147 to 1526 of the family's 1533-position model. The record is from RNAcentral. Lineage: Bacteria; Pseudomonadati; Pseudomonadota; Gammaproteobacteria; Enterobacterales; Enterobacteriaceae. RNAcentral also lists the same sequence under 1 other name.
GACUGCCAGUGAUAAACUGGAGGAAGGUGGGGAUGACGUCAAGUCAUCAUGGCCCUUACGACCAGGGCUACACACGUGCUACAAUGGCGCAUACAAAGAGAAGCGACCUCGCGAGAGCAAGCGGACCUCAUAAAGUGCGUCGUAGUCCGGAUUGGAGUCUGCAACUCGACUCCAUGAAGUCGGAAUCGCUAGUAAUCGUGGAUCAGAAUGCCACGGUGAAUACGUUCCCGGGCCUUGUACACACCGCCCGUCACACCAUGGGAGUGGGUUGCAAAAGAAGUAGGUAGCUUAACCUUCGGGAGGGCGCUUACCACUUUGUGAUUCAUGACUGGGGUGAAGUCGUAACAAGGUAACCGUAGGGGAACCUGCGGUUGGAUCAC